GCAAGAUAGGAAUCGAUAAAGUAAACCACACACAAGGUUCUUAGAUAGAAAACGUAAAAGGGUGUACAGAGUAAAAAAGGAGGUGGGGAGGUACCAACUCCCGAUGGAAAAACCUGGAAGUCUGCUUUGAUUCGCCCGAUAUCAACUACCGCUAGCUCUUGCAUGUUUCGUCCGGUAUUGCUUUGCUCUUCGCGUCCAAACGCCAAAAGCUCGCCUUGUCCGCUGCGGCUUGUACCUGAAAAUCACGCACACAACAAACCCCAAAAAAAAGCAAGGGGGGCUGGUAGGGGGUGAGGGCUGGGUAGUGAAGAGAGAAGAGAGAGAGAAGAGAGAGAUCUGGUUAGACAGAGGCACAAUCUAAUUUAGCAAUUCCCACAGUUUCGGUAUGCUCACCAUCAUGUAAACAUAAGAGGCACAAUUCUCGUUCCUGCCUUUGCUAUAGGAAAUAUUCUCAAAGCUUUGCCAGUUGUAGCUUUCACUCCCUACCACAAAGUUAACUUCAUUAAAAUAUGUUACAGAGCAAAACCAUAAAGAAAUCAAUAAGGAUUUCCAGCAGCAGUGCAACUCACCAGAAAAUGGGACCCUAUGCAGCCUAAAUCUUGGGAACCUCCACUUUCAUAUUCUCUUCACUCUUCAGCCAAGAUCAUAGUUUUCU
This 655-nucleotide long non-coding RNA is filed under the name Nicotiana benthamiana. Its description in RNAcentral is "long non-coding RNA (NBEN_LNC034372)". Lineage: Eukaryota; Viridiplantae; Streptophyta; Magnoliopsida; Solanales; Solanaceae. The record is from RNAcentral.